Lolium rigidum is the source of this 271-nucleotide long non-coding RNA. RefSeq lists it as uncharacterized. The record is from RefSeq and is a predicted model, not a curated record. The transcript has 3 exons. Lineage: Eukaryota; Viridiplantae; Streptophyta; Magnoliopsida; Poales; Poaceae.
CGAGCAUCUGUGAAAACAUCUCAUACAGCUGGUACAAAGAGUUAUGCUCGUUGGGCUGAGGACCUUCGACAAGAAGAUCCUGAAAAGAAACAACCACAUAGAGCGAAGGUUUAUUUAGCGACUCAUAAAAAAAAAGAUGAAGAAAGAAAUAAACAUGUGGCUGACUUGGCUGACUUGGAAAAGCUAAUACAUAAUGAACCAGAGCUAGCACAGAGUGACCAUGGAAAAGUUGCAUGGAAAGGUGAUGCCUUACAUACAAUUUUGGGGGAAG